GCUUUUAAAGGAUAACAGCUCAUCCAUUGGCCUUAGGAGCCAAAAACUCUUGGUGCAAAUCCAAGUGAAAGCU
Molecule: transfer RNA, 73 nt
Filed under: Spinibarbus hollandi
Lineage: Eukaryota; Metazoa; Chordata; Actinopteri; Cypriniformes; Cyprinidae
Description: tRNA-Leu
Rfam family: tRNA
About the family: Transfer RNA (tRNA) molecules are approximately 80 nucleotides in length. Their secondary structure includes four short double-helical elements and three loops (D, anti-codon, and T loops). Further hydrogen bonds mediate the characteristic L-shaped molecular structure. tRNAs have two regions of fundamental functional importance: the anti-codon, which is responsible for specific mRNA codon recognition, and the 3' end, to which the tRNAs corresponding amino acid is attached (by aminoacyl-tRNA synthetases). tRNAs cope with the degeneracy of the genetic code in two manners: having more than one tRNA (with a specific anti-codon) for a particular amino acid; and 'wobble' base-pairing, i.e. permitting non-standard base-pairing at the 3rd anti-codon position.
Source: RNAcentral